This 1711-nucleotide long non-coding RNA is filed under the name Nothobranchius furzeri (turquoise killifish). RNAcentral's name for it is "lncRNA (ENSNFUG00015018304.1)". The record is from RNAcentral. Lineage: Eukaryota; Metazoa; Chordata; Actinopteri; Cyprinodontiformes; Nothobranchiidae.
GAGGUGGGAGUUGAAGACCGUCUUAACAGGUUCUUCUGCCAGGCGUUCCCAGCAGACCCUCACUAUGCGUUUGGGUCUGCCAGGUCUACGCGGCAUGUUCCCUUGCCAUCUGAUCCAACUCACCACCAGGUGGUGAUCAGUUGACAGCUCCGCCCCUCUCUUCACUCGGGUGUCCAAAACAUACGGCCGCAGGUCAGAUGAUACGACUACAAAAUCUAUCAUCGACCUGUGACCUAGGCUGCCCUGGUACCAAGUGUACCGGUGGGCAUCCUUAUGUUCGAACAUGGUGUUCGUUAUGGCCAAACUGCGGCUUGCACAGAAGUCCAAUAACAAAACACCGCUCGAGUUCAGAUUAGGUGGGCCGUUCCUCCCAAUCACACCCCUCCAGGUCAAGCUGUCAUUGCCCACGUGAGCAUUGAAGUCCCCCAGCAGGACAAUGGAGUCCCCUGAUGGAGCACUAUCUAGCACUCGUCCCAGGGACUCCAAAAAGGGUGGGUACUCUGAACUGAUAUUUGGCCCAUAAGCACAAACAACAGUCAGGACCCGUUCCCCGACCCGAAGGCGCAAGGAAGCUACCCUCUUGUCCCCCGGGGUAAACCCCAACACACAGGCAGAGAGUCUCGGGGCUAACAAAAAGCCAACCCCAGCCCUCCGCCUCUCACCCGGAGCAACUCCAGCAAAGUAGAGUGUCCAACCCCUCUCCAGGUCUCGGGUUCCAGAGCCAAUGCAAUGUGUCGAGGUGAGUCCGACUAUAUCUAGCCGGUACCGCUCAACCUCUGCCACAAGCUCCGGCUCCUUCCCCGCCAGCGAGGUGACGUUCCAUGUCCCAAAAACUAGUUUUCUUGUCCGGGGAUUGGACCGCCAAGGCUCCCGCCUUGGUCUGCCACCCGAUUCGCAUUGCACCGGACCCUUCAUGUUCCUCCUGCGGGUGGUGGGUCCACAGUUGGACGAGCCCAUGUAUCCGGUUCGGGCUGGGCCCGGCCGGGCCCCAUGGGCGAAAGCCCGGCCACCAGGCGCUCGCUCACGGGCCCCAACCCCAGGCCUGGCUCCAGGGUGGGACCCCGGUAACCCUCCGGGCCGGGUACUCCGACUCUUCGUUUUAACCGCCAUGAAAGAUCCUUCGAACCGUUCUUUGUCUCACCCUUCACCUAAGACCAAUUUGUCAUGGGAGACCCUACCAGGGGCACUAAGUGCCCCAGAUAACAUAGCUCCUAGGAUCAUUAGGGCACUCAAACUCCUCCACCACGAUAAGGUGACGUCCAUCGUUGCUUGGUUUUUUUUUUCUGCAUAAGAAACACAAAUAGACUGAAAUAAGUACACAUAUAAAAUAAAGCAGCACACACACUACAACACUAAAUCAAUAUUAUAUUAUUUGAAUUAAUUAACAAUAUACAGUGAUCAUUUAUUUUGAGGGUUACGUUCUACAAAAUAGCCCGCAACAGGAGAUAUUCAGAAAAAAAGUAAAACAUUUUUACUAUUAAAAAGCUCUAAGUAAGAAGCUCAUGAGGUUUUUACUUUGAGUCGGGAGUGUUUAAAUUAGCUAGAGAAAUGUGAAAAAUGUUUAUUUUGUGUAAUACUGUUUAAGAAACAUGAUAAAAAUGUGUUGUGAGGCGUUUUACAGCGUUAGAUAGUAAAACAGCCUUUUAAUAGUAAAAAAAUGACUUUUUCUGAAUUUCUCCUGUAUUUAAAAAUUGAAAGUGUACAACUAUGC